RNAcentral lists this ribosomal RNA (492 nucleotides) under uncultured bacterium. Its description in RNAcentral is "partial 16S ribosomal RNA". It matches the Rfam family "Bacterial small subunit ribosomal RNA", at positions 29 to 507 of the family's 1533-position model. The record is from RNAcentral.
AGUGAACGCUGGCGGUAGGCCUAACACAUGCAAGUCGAACGGCAGCACAGUAAGAGCUUGCUCUUACGGGUGGCGAGUGGCGGACGGGUGAGGAAUACAUCGGAAUCUACUUUUUCGUGGGGGAUAACGUAGGGACACUUACGCUAAUACCGCAUACGACCUACGGGUGAAAGCAGGGGAUCUUCGGACCUUGCGCGAUUGAAUGAGCCGAUGUCGGAUUAGCUAGUUGGCGGGGUAAAGGCCCACCAAGGCGACGAUCCGUAGCUGGUCUGAGAGGAUGAUCAGCCACACUGGAACUGAGACACGGUCCAGACUCCUACGGGAGGCAGCAGUGGGGAAUAUUGGACAAUGGGCGCAAGCCUGAUCCAGCCAUACCGCGUGGGGGAAGAAGGCCUUCGGGUUGUAAAGCCCUUUUGUUGGGAAAGAAAAGCAGCAGGUUAAUACCUCGCUGUUAUGACGGUACCCAAAGAAUAAGCACCGGCUAACUUCGUG